GAAGGAGUGCUUAUGAAUGCUAACAUCACUGUUGCUAUUACUGUUUGUCUCCUUUGAUCCACUGCUCUCCCUUUGAUCUGCAGGUGGCAGCUUUGGCUAUCGCAAGUGGUAAUGGCUUGUUACUCAAAGGAGGAAAGGAGGCUGCACACAGCAACCGGAUUCUCCACCUCCUGACCCAGGAGGCUCUCUCAAUCCAUGGAGUCAAGGAGGCCGUGCAACUGGUGAAUACCAGAGAAGAAGUUGAAGAUCUUUGCCGCCUAGACAAAAUGAUAGAUCUGAUCAUUCCACGUGGCUCUUCCCAGCUGGUCAGAGACAUCCAGAAAGCUGCUAAGGGGAUUCCAGUGAUGGGGCACAGCGAAGGGAUCUGUCACAUGUAUGUGGAUUCCGAGGCCAGUGUUGAUAAGGUCACCAGGCUAGUCAGAGACUCUAAAUGUGAAUAUCCAGCUGCCUGUAAUGCUUUGGAGACUUUGUUAAUCCACCGGGAUCUGCUCAGGACACCAUUAUUUGACCAGAUCAUUGAUAUGCUGAGAGUGGAACAGGUAAAAAUUCAUGCAGGCCCCAAAUUUGCCUCCUAUCUGACCUUCAGCCCCUCCGAAGUGAAGUCACUCCGAACUGAGUAUGGGGACCUGGAAUUAUGCAUUGAAGUAGUGGACAACGUUCAGGAUGCCAUUGACCACAUCCACAAGUAUGGCAGCUCCCACACGGAUGUCAUCGUCACAGAGGAUG
This 726-nucleotide small RNA is filed under the name Pan troglodytes (chimpanzee). RNAcentral's name for it is "processed transcript". The record is from RNAcentral. Lineage: Eukaryota; Metazoa; Chordata; Mammalia; Primates; Hominidae.